Non-coding RNA from Amborella trichopoda, 1824 nucleotides. The record is from RefSeq and is a predicted model, not a curated record. NCBI's taxonomy places the organism in Eukaryota, Viridiplantae, Streptophyta, Magnoliopsida, Amborellales, Amborellaceae.
UUUAAUAACCCGCUGACACACAGUACUGACCGGUUGACACAGAGAAAAAACACGAGCGGCUCUCUCUUCUCCUCAAAACAUGAGCGGCUCUCUCUUCAAAAUCAAGGGAUUUUAUCUCUCUCUCUCCUCCCUGGUUUUCUUCCUCUUCCUCGUCCCUGUGUCAAGCCUCUCCUCCCUGGUUUUCUCUCUCUCUCCUACCUGGUUUUCUGCCUCUCACUCCCUGUAACUUUGUGUCAAGCCUGUUCUCCCUGGUUUUCUCUCUCUCCUACCUGGUUUCUGCCUUUCACUCCCUGUAACUUCUUAAACCGAAAUCAUGCACCCCAUUGAUAGGCGCUUAGCCCCUCUCUCUCUCUCUGCCUCUCGCUCCCUGUGCUUAGCCCCUCUCGCUCUCUCUACCAUUCCUACUGCUGGUGCACCCUCUCUGCCUUUCGCUUCCCUAAUAGCUCAAAAAAUCCCAUCGGCCCCUCGUCUUCACUAUCCAAAGGCCCGUCCCUCAGGGAAAAACCAAAGGCCGCUCACGCAUUGUCUCUUCCCCUCGAGCACCAUCUCACGCAGUGGAAAGUCCAGAUGAAUUUAUCGAGUCUCUAUUGGGAGCACAACGUGAGGCAACUGCUUCAUUUGGUGUAAACACUGUUCUAGUGGAAAAAUACAUUUCUCGACCACGACAUAUAGAAGUCCAGGUCUUUGGAGACAAACAUGGUAGUGUCAUACAUUUGAAUGAAAGGGACUGCAGUGUUCAGCGAAGCCACCAGAAGAUAAUUGAGGAGGCUCCAGCAGUAAGUCUUAGUUUCUUACAUUUUCAUAUUGUUAAUUGUGGCUUGCUUUUUUGCCAUUAUAUGAUAAUCAUGUCUACUUCUUGAAUACAGCCAAAUAUUACUAAUAGAUUUUGUUCCCAAUUGGGUGAAGCUAUUGUAUCUGCAGCCAAGGUCAUGCGCAUAUGAAUGUCUUUUUUGAAUUUCCUUUGUGAUCAAUUACCAUGUUUUAUGUAGCUGUCAAAUGAAUCCCAGGGUUAUCAUAUAUGGUGUUCAUUCCAAUUACAUUAUUUUUUGUUUUGUGCUUUAAGUGGUUAAUCAUACAUGAUUUGUUUUUUCUUUAAUUGGUUAACCAUAUUUUUGGUUUCAAAUAUUUUCAAUCAAAAAAUUGAAAAGGUCAUUCAUGCGUCUUCUUCCCCAUUAACCUAUGCAAUGGAUGCAAAGAAGAAUGAACUCUACUUCACAGCUGUGCUAACUAAACCAUGCCUACAGUGUAUGCAAAGAAGAAUGAACUCUCCAUUAACUUCCUGUGGUCUUCAUGGUUUUGCCUAAAUGAAUAUUACAUGAAUAUUACAUGGUUUCCAAACUUUUGACUUUGAAAAUAACUCUUUUUACUUCAAUGGCUGAUGUAAUCCAUGGAUGUGAUAGAGUGAUGACGUUUUUAAUAUAUUCGUUGUGACUUCUUUAGAGAAUGGAUCUCAAUGACCAAUUCCCUCCAAGGAUUUGUAAACGAAAAAACCAAGAUGUAGUUGAAUGCGUGUGUUUAUAUCAAUGACACACGAUAACUACAAUACGCAUUUCUAUAAAUGCUCUAAUAGGAAGCUAGAAUGAGACUGGAUGCGGCUAUUUAGAGUGGAUGAAAUUCUAAGUGAAGAUAGGAAGCAUGUGGUUAAAAGGUUUGUGUCUCAGAUGCUAGAUGCUUGUGUUGCUAAUGGAGUAGAUGCAUCUCUAUCUGAAAAAGAGAAUUGUAAAUCUAUUGCUAUGGUCCUUGAGAAAGCAGACGUUCAAAAAAUUACUCUCAUAUGUGUAAUUUUAUUUAUGAUAUUGAUGUUUGUACUCCUAUUUUUUUGUA